This 324-nucleotide long non-coding RNA is filed under the name Gallus gallus (chicken). The record is from RNAcentral. Lineage: Eukaryota; Metazoa; Chordata; Aves; Galliformes; Phasianidae.
CUCCAGCCCAGUUUCGAAGGGUGAAAUCUGUCCAACUAUAUUUGCUUCAAGGAGCUGCAGUUCAAUUUCAUUUGGGAUGUUUCAUGGGAAGGCAAUGGAUAAAUGAUGAAUAGAUCAGGAGAGCAAUGCAAACUGACCUAGGCUGGAGGAAAGAGGAACUGGAAGAAAGAUGUUUCCUAUUUUCUUGGAAGAAAACCUGAGAAGACCACAUGCAUGUCCAUGUAGAGCACUGUGGACAUCAUUGAUCACCCUGUAGAUGGGUCAAGGCCUCCUCACCAUGUGAAGUCCAUGCGCUGCUUUACUUUCCAAAUCUGGAUCCAGAGA